UAGGAACCGUGAGAUUAAGCCAUCGCGGCAGGUGCUCACGUUAAGCCCACUGACUUUCAUGUCCCUAUCUACUAUCUAGCGAAACCACAGCCAAGGGAACGGGCUUGGAAUAAUUAGCGGGGAAAGAAGACCCUUUUGAGCUUGACUCUAAUCUGGCAGUGUAAGGAGACAUAAGAGGUGUAGAAUAAGUGGGAGAUAUUAGACUUCGGUUUGGUAUCGACAAUGAAAU
Drosophila virilis is the source of this 229-nucleotide non-coding RNA. The record is from Rfam. Lineage: Eukaryota; Metazoa; Arthropoda; Insecta; Diptera; Drosophilidae.